GCACCUACCGAUUGAAUGGUUCGGUGAAAAUCUCGGACUGCGGCUUGGAUGCUCUCGGGCAACCAAGCUGUGGAAAGUUGUUUAAACCUCAUCAUUUAGAGGAAGGUGAAGUCGUAACAAGGUUUCCGUAGGUGAACCUGCAGAAGGAUCAAGACCGGAAGAGCACACGUCUGAAUCCCAUCCACGUGGCCUUACCUCGUAUGCCGUCUCUUGCUUGAAAAAAACAAAAUCAGCACAUCUCAAUUGAACAACUUGGUAUCGCAGAUCAGAGAAAC
Molecule: unclassified non-coding RNA, 275 nt
Filed under: sea anemone metagenome
Description: partial contains small subunit ribosomal RNA and internal transcribed spacer 1
Rfam family: Eukaryotic small subunit ribosomal RNA (bases 1-154)
Source: RNAcentral